RNAcentral lists this ribosomal RNA (1335 nucleotides) under Agromyces sp. RNAcentral describes it as "bacterial SSU rRNA". It matches the Rfam family "Bacterial small subunit ribosomal RNA", at positions 95 to 1435 of the family's 1533-position model. The record is from RNAcentral. Lineage: Bacteria; Bacillati; Actinomycetota; Actinomycetes; Micrococcales; Microbacteriaceae.
GUGGCGAACGGGUGAGUAACACGUGAGUAACCUGCCCUGGACUCUGGGAUAACCCCGAGAAAUCGGAGCUAAUACCGGAUAGGACCCUGGACCGCAUGGUUUGGGGUGGAAAGUUUUUCGGUCUGGGAUGGACUCGCGGCCUAUCAGCUUGUUGGUGAGGUAAUGGCUCACCAAGGCGUCGACGGGUAGCCGGCCUGAGAGGGUGACCGGCCACACUGGGACUGAGACACGGCCCAGACUCCUACGGGAGGCAGCAGUGGGGAAUAUUGCACAAUGGGCGCAAGCCUGAUGCAGCAACGCCGCGUGCGGGAUGACGGCCUUCGGGUUGUAAACCGCUUUUAGUAAGGAAGAAGGGGAGCUUGCUCCUUGACGGUACUUGCAGAAAAAGGACCGGCUAACUACGUGCCAGCAGCCGCGGUAAUACGUAGGGUCCGAGCGUUGUCCGGAAUUAUUGGGCGUAAAGAGCUCGUAGGCGGUUUGUCGCGUCUGCUGUGAAAUCCCGAGGCUCAACCUCGGGCCUGCAGUGGGUACGGGCAGACUGGAGUGCGGUAGGGGAGAAUGGAAUUCCUGGUGUAGCGGUGGAAUGCGCAGAUAUCAGGAGGAACACCGAUGGCGAAGGCAGUUCUCUGGGCCGUAACUGACGCUGAGGAGCGAAAGCGUGGGGAGCGAACAGGAUUAGAUACCCUGGUAGUCCACGCCGUAAACGUUGGGCGCUAGAUGUGGGGACCUUUCCACGGUUUCCGUGUCGUAGCUAACGCAUUAAGCGCCCCGCCUGGGGAGUACGGCCGCAAGGCUAAAACUCAAAGGAAUUGACGGGGGCCCGCACAAGCGGCGGAGCAUGCGGAUUAAUUCGAUGCAACGCGAAGAACCUUACCAAGGCUUGACAUAACCGGGAACGCGCUAGAGAUAGCGAACUCUUUGGACACUCGGUUACAGGUGGUGCAUGGUUGUCGUCAGCUCGUGUCGUGAGAUGUUGGGUUAAGUCCCGCAACGAGCGCAACCCUCGUCGUAUGUUGCCAGCACGUAAUGGUGGGAACUCAUAUGAGACUGCCGGGGUCAACUCGGAGGAAGGUGGGGAUGACGUCAAAUCAUCAUGCCCCUUAUGUCUUGGGCUUCACGCAUGCUACAAUGGCCGGUACAAAGGGCUGCGAUGUCGUAAGGCGGAGCGAAUCCCAAAAAGCCGGUCUCAGUUCGGAUUGAGGUCUGCAACUCGACCUCAUGAAGUCGGAGUCGCUAGUAAUCGCAGAUCAGCAACGCUGCGGUGAAUACGUUCCCGGGCCUUGUACACACCGCCCGUCAAGUCAUGAAAGUCGGUAACACCCGAAGCCGGUGGCC